UGAGCAAUCUGCCCUUCUCUUUGGAAUAAGCGUUGGAAACGACGUCUAAUGCCGAAUACGACCUCCUUUCGCAUGAUCGGAGGUGGAAAGCUCCGGCGGAGAAGGAUGAGCUCGCGGCCUAUCAGCUAGUUGGUGUGGGUAAUGGCCCACCAAGGCGACGACGGGUAGCCGGCCUGAGAGGGUGACCGGCCACACUGGGACUGAGACACGGCCCAGACUCCUACGGGAAGNAG
RNAcentral lists this ribosomal RNA (233 nucleotides) under uncultured bacterium. RNAcentral describes it as "partial 16S ribosomal RNA". It matches the Rfam family "Bacterial small subunit ribosomal RNA", at positions 118 to 351 of the family's 1533-position model. The record is from RNAcentral.